GUGAUUGACCUCCGGGUCUUAAUAACUAUAAUCUUCUACCUCUGUGAACCGUUGGUCUUCGGACCGAUUCUUAUAACAAACAUCUGCGUAAUGAACGUAACCUAUAUUAAUCAUAUA
RNAcentral lists this unclassified non-coding RNA (117 nucleotides) under uncultured Basidiomycota. RNAcentral describes it as "sequence contains ITS1". The record is from RNAcentral. Lineage: Eukaryota; Fungi; Basidiomycota.